Long non-coding RNA from Bombus huntii, 663 nucleotides. RefSeq lists it as uncharacterized. The transcript has 2 exons. Lineage: Eukaryota; Metazoa; Arthropoda; Insecta; Hymenoptera; Apidae. The record is from RefSeq and is a predicted model, not a curated record.
GUUCACAAUCUUGGGCGCAUCGAGAUUUAUCGAAAGCAUCGAUCGUGAUAUUGAUUUCUCGGUGGAGUUCUACCGAACUCAUUUAGCUCACUUGGGAUCAAAAUGAUCUUAGCAGAUACGAAGAUGUAAUUUUAACGGUAACUAAUAUAUAUAUAAAUCUAACAGAGACGGUAUAUGUUCAUAAAUUACACAAAGUGUAUUUAGCAUUUCCUUUUCGAUCAAAGUCUGGAAUAUUCGUCGUGGAAUAUACGAAUGUUCCUCUAUACAUAGAAAUGGGAAUUAAGAGAUAAGGCGGCCAAAUACAUUAUCGGAGGAGGAUGUAUUGCGUUAAUGAAGCGUGGUACGGAACGACGAAAAUUGAACGUGAAGCAAUCUAGGAAUAUCAUAGCGGAAUAGCGAUACGGAAAUAUGCGCUGGGCAAAUCGAAAAAUACACGUGCCGUUUAAUCAAUAGCGAGCCAAUAUAAAAAGUAAUCCAGACGAAGAUUACAUUUUAUCCGGGUUUAUUUUAUUUUUCCCAUCGAGCCGUUUGUUUGUUAUAGGUAUACGUUCCACAGAGACGUUUCACCCGUUUAAUUGAAAAAAGUGCGGAUGGAAUGGUUGUGUCCAUGUUCACACCGUUCUUAACACGUUCGUGUUUAAUUAAACGUUUUAAUUUCUCUAA